Haliotis rubra (blacklip abalone) is the source of this 158-nucleotide long non-coding RNA. RefSeq lists it as uncharacterized. NCBI's taxonomy places the organism in Eukaryota, Metazoa, Mollusca, Gastropoda, Lepetellida, Haliotidae. The transcript has 3 exons. The record is from RefSeq and is a predicted model, not a curated record.
UUUGUUAGUUUUCAAUCACCAAAAUGAUAAGAAGAAAGAUAAAGGGAAAUAACUGCGUAACAUAAAACUAACAGAAACGCGCUAGUACUGUCACAUCCCGUCGCAUACGGUAUGCGCACAAACAAAGGUAUCCAACCUCUAUAAGGCUGGGCUAGCAC